CAUGUAGGCGGUUAAAUAAGUCUGAUGUGAAAGCACACAGCUCAACUGUGAUGUUGCGUUGGAAACUGUUUAACUUGAAUCCGAGAGGGGUGUGUGGAAUUCCUAGUGUAGGGGUGAAAUCUGUUGAUAUUAGGAAGAACACCAGAGGCGAAGGCGACACACUGGCUCUGGAUUGACGCUGAGAUGCGAAAGCGUAGGUAGCGAACAGGAUUAGAUACCCUGGUAGUCC
RNAcentral lists this ribosomal RNA (229 nucleotides) under uncultured bacterium. RNAcentral describes it as "partial 16S ribosomal RNA". It matches the Rfam family "Bacterial small subunit ribosomal RNA", at positions 568 to 796 of the family's 1533-position model. The record is from RNAcentral.